GACGAACGCUGGCGGCGUGCUUAACACAUGCAAGUCGAACGGAAAGGCCCUGCUUUUGUGGGGUGCUCGAGUGGCGAACGGGUGAGUAACACGUGAGUAACCUGCCCUUGACUUUGGGAUAACUUCAGGAAACUGGGGCUAAUACCGGAUAGGAGCUCCUGCUGCAUGGUGGGGGUUGGAAAGUUUCGGCGGUUGGGGAUGGACUCGCGGCUUAUCAGCUUGUUGGUGGGGUAGUGGCUUACCAAGGCUUUGACGGGUAGCCGGCCUGAGAGGGCGACCGGCCACAUUGGGACUGAGAUACGGCCCAGACUCCUACGGGAGGCAGCAGUGGGGAAUAUUGCACAAUGGGCGGAAGCCUGAUGCAGCAACGCCGCGUGCGGGAUGACGGCCUCCGGGUUGUAAACCGCUUUCGCCUGUGACGAAGCGUGAGUGACGGUAAUGGGUAAAGAAGCACCGGCUAACUACGUG
RNAcentral lists this ribosomal RNA (468 nucleotides) under uncultured bacterium. Its description in RNAcentral is "partial 16S ribosomal RNA". It matches the Rfam family "Bacterial small subunit ribosomal RNA", at positions 28 to 507 of the family's 1533-position model. The record is from RNAcentral.